UACGUAGGGGGCAAGCGUUGUCCGGAAUCAUUGGGCGUAAAGCGCGUGUAGGCGGCCUGGUAAGUCCGCUGUGAAAGUCCAGGGCUCAACCCUGGGAUGCCGGUGGAUACUGUCGGGCUCGAGUCCGGAAGAGGCGAGUGGAAUUCCUGGUGUAGCGGUGAAAUGCGCAGAUAUCAGGAGGAACACCAAUGGCGAAGGCAGCUCGCUGGGACGUGACUGACGCUGAGACGCGAAAGCGUGGGGAGCAAACAGG
RNAcentral lists this ribosomal RNA (253 nucleotides) under uncultured bacterium. RNAcentral describes it as "partial 16S ribosomal RNA". It matches the Rfam family "Bacterial small subunit ribosomal RNA", at positions 524 to 776 of the family's 1533-position model. The record is from RNAcentral.